This 253-nucleotide ribosomal RNA is filed under the name uncultured bacterium. RNAcentral's name for it is "partial 16S ribosomal RNA". It matches the Rfam family "Bacterial small subunit ribosomal RNA", at positions 524 to 776 of the family's 1533-position model. The record is from RNAcentral.
UACGUAGGGGGCAAGCGUUGUCCGGAUUUAUUGGGCGUAAAGAGCGUGUAGGCGGUUUGGUAGGUCCGCUGUGAAAACUCGAGGCUCAACCUCGAGACGCCGGUGGAAACCAUCAGACUAGAGUCCGGAAUAGGAGAGUGGAAUUCCUGGUGUAGCGGUGAAAUGCGCAGAUAUCAGGAAGAACACCCGUGGCUAAGGCGGCUCUCUAGUACGGUACUGACGCUGAGACGCGAAAGCGUGGGGAGCGAACAGG